AACGAACGCUGGCGGCAGGCUUAACACAUGCAAGUCGAACGGGUGUAGCAAUACAUCAGUGGCAGACGGGUGAGUAACACGUGGGAACCUUCCUAGGGGUACGGAACAACUCAGGGAAACUUGAGCUAAUACCGUAUACGUCCGUGAGGAGAAAGAUUUAUCGCCCUUAGACGGGCCCGCGUCAGAUUAGCUAGUUGGUGGGGUAACGGCCUACCAAGGCGACGAUCCGUAGCUGAUCUUAGCGGAUGAUCAGCCACACUGGGACUGAGACACGGCCCAGACUCCUACGGGAGGCAGCAGUGGGGAAUCUUGGGCAAUGGGCGCAAGCCUGAUCCAGCCAUGCCGCGUGAGUGAAGAAGGUCUUCGGAUUGUAAAGCUCUUUUGCCAGGGACGAUAAUGACGGUACCUGGAGAAUAAGCCCCGGCAAACUUCGUGCCAGCCGCCGCGGUAA
Molecule: ribosomal RNA, 451 nt
Filed under: uncultured bacterium
Lineage: Bacteria
Description: partial 16S ribosomal RNA
Rfam family: Bacterial small subunit ribosomal RNA
Source: RNAcentral